CUCUUUUUGUAUUUAAUAAAAAGUUUAACCUGCCCAUUGAAAAAUUUUAAAAGGCUGCGGUAUUUUGACCGUACAAAGGUAGCAUAAUCAUUAGUUUUUUAAUUGAAAACUUGUAUGAAUGGUUGAAUGAAAUAUUGACUGUUUUAAUUAAAAAUUUUGAAUUUUACUUUUUAAUUAAAAGGUUAAAAUAAUAUUAAAAGACGAGAAGACCCUAUAGAGUUUUAUAUCUUUAAUUUUAUAAUUAAAUAAGCUUAUUAAUUAUUAUAUUAUUAAAAGUAUUUUAUUGGGGUGAUAAUAAAAUUUAAUAAACUUUUAUUUAAAAUAAAUACAUUAAUAUAUGAAAUUUUGAUCCAUUAUUAAUGAUUAAAAAAUUAAAUUACCUUAGGGAUAACAGCGUAAUUUUUUUUUAAGUUCAUAUUAAUAAAAAUUUUUGCGACCUCGAUGUUGGAUUAAGAUUUAAUUUUAGGUGCAGAAGUUUAAAUUUUAAGUCUGUUCGACUUUUAAAUUCUU
Molecule: ribosomal RNA, 510 nt
Filed under: Leptosciarella dentata
Lineage: Eukaryota; Metazoa; Arthropoda; Insecta; Diptera; Sciaridae
Description: partial 16S ribosomal RNA
Source: RNAcentral